GCAUGGUAUCAUUUUACAGUAUUAUGUCAUUUUAUCUUCUGUCUGGGGAGUAUAUCCUACCUAGAUGGACUCUUCAAUAGAGAUUUGUUUCUGUUUAAAUAUUAUCUUGUUCUAUAAUACACAUCACAGAGCUUCUUAUAAAAUAGCUACUACAUUGGGGUACACAUGCUCAAGUGUUGGUUUUACAAGAUAAAGGGCCAUUUUCUUAUUUAUUUAAGGUCCUCUAUCCCCACUUUAAAGCCUCUUUUACAAUGAUGAGUUGGUGGAUACAAGAAUCAGCCCCACAGUACUCAGGAUUUUGAAAGAAGGACUGACGUGUAAAUCUUUCACUGUAAGCUGUGCAUCCGUAAAUAUGCAGGUUACGUUAUAUGCUAUCAGAAAUUUUAGUGUUGUAUCCUAUGUUUUUUGCUUUUUGUGUCCUGGUGUAACACAUCUAAAGCAAACCACCACUUGAUAUGAUUGCUCUGUUUGGCUGUAUUCAUCUUUUCUUCUGCUCUAACAUCUUAAAAGAAACUGUAUUCAAUAAUAAUUUAUGUACUGCUUGCUUGCAAUAUGUGAUGUGUCUAGAUGUUGCAGUGUGUACUAAUGUAAUAGUGCAGAGGAAGAAAAGCAUCAUAAUAAGUUAACAGAAUUAAAACCUUGUACAGUAAUUUGUUCAGGACAAAUGUAGAUGUUUUAACAGUCACUUUAUGUUAGCACUGAAAUCUAUCGAAAAGAAACAUGUAGUAUGAUUAUGAUUCUGUUUCUGAUUUGGUUUCGUGCAAUAGAAGAAAAAAAACAAUAGGCUAACUUACAUUUUUCCUUUCUGAAAUAUUAAAUCAUUAAGGCAAGAUGUUCUUCUAUAAAGUGUUUUCCUUGUAAUUAGAAAAACCCAGAGUAUUUUUUUUCUUUGAACUGAGGCUUUUUUUCCUUUGUGUAGUUGUCUCUCAAGUUAAAACCAUGUAAGUGUUCUACCUCUGUCACUUUUAUAUGCAUGUGUGAAGUACCUAACUCAUUCAUCUUAUAUGCUUGGUGCACUUAAGAAAUGAGUGACUGUUUUUCAGAUUUUUCACCGCAGCAUGGAAAUGUUGCUUUUAGAGACAUCACUGAGACUUUUUGUCUCUAAGGCCUGGUCUACACUACAAAGAUAGGUCAACAUAAGCUGCUGUGCAUCAACCUCGUUGUACAUGUGUCUUCACAUAAACUUGUCUCCCACCUGUAGCCCAUAGGGCUAGCUGCCUUUAAUUAUAUUCACUGCCUUGCCUUCAUUAUAUUUUGUCUUUAUUAUAUUCUGUAGUAAUGCAAGGAACCUACAUGUUUUGCUAAAUGUAUUAAUACAUUAUUUUAAAUAUAGAAGACCUCCUACAGUGUGAGUGUUGCAGCCGUGGACAUCAGGGUUCCCAACUAAAUAUUAAUUUUAAUAAUACUGGGCCUGAUAUUGGGACAAGAACCUAUCAACCCACAAAACAAUAACUGGAAAUUCUUAAGUAAUCAAUAUAAUUAAUACAUACAUAAUAUAUAAUCUAUAGAUCAGACUACACACCAACGUUAGCACCCCAUUACUCUGACAUAGUAACACCACCUCCCAGAGCAGCAUUGACUCACAGUCAAUGUACAGAGAUUGAUGCAGUGCGAGUGUAGAUGCUGCAUUACUUUAUAUCAACACUAAUAGUCCUCCAACGGCUGUCCCACAGUGCCAGACACUGAUGGCUGUGCUCACAAUUGUGAGCUCCACUGCUUGGGGUCACGUAGAUCAGAAGUCCCUCCUCCCCCCACUUAAAACCCCCACAAAUUUUUGAAUGCCUUUUGCUGGUUGGCCAGCUUGAUGAGCAUACCUCUAUCUGCUCUCUGUCAUGCACAGCUGACCAGCUGACCAGACAUGCUCCUACCUGGAAUAGACAGUAGAUAUUGGAUCUCCUGAACCUGUGGGGAGAAGAGGCUGUACAGGCACAACUCCAAACCAGUGGUAGAAAUGUCAACAUGUACAAGCAGAUUGCUCAGGGUAGGCAAUAGAAGGGAUAUGACUGAGACCAGCGGCACUGCCACAUGAAAGCCAAGGAACUGCAGCAGGCAUACCAGAAGGCCAGGGAGGUCAACAGUCGAUUCAGUGAGCUGCGUGCCAUACUCAGCAGAGACGCCACCACCCCACACACCACUGUGGUUACUUCUGCGAAGCCUGAGUCACAGGCCCCUGUCGUGAACGACAAGGAGGAGGUAGGGGAGGAGGAUGGGGACAGACAUCCAAGGGAUCCAGCUGUGCAAUAAACCAGGUCCUGUUUUUGACUCCACCACAAUCCAGCCAAUCCCACCAGUCAAGUACAGGCAAGCCCGAUGAAGGGGAAGGAACCUCGGCUGUGGCUGUUGUGGCCUUGAUGGCGACCCCCUCCAUAUCAGAAGAACUACUGAGCCAGAUAAGGAGGAGGGGGAAAAAAGGACACGGAGGACAUGCUCUUCAAGAUCCUCGAAGCCAGUGCUGCAUCAGACCUUGACCAGAGGGCCUGGAGAGUGAAUGUUGCAGAUUGUAUGGAGAUGGAAAGAGCAGACAGAAAAAAGAUGCAGCAGGAAAAGGAAAGGGAGAUGCACAAGGACAUAAUGGGGCUUCUCCAGCAGCAAUCUCAGAUUCUGCAAACUCUUGUGGACCUCCAGGCUCAACUCUCAUUGUAGUCUGUGGAUAACUGAAGCAUAGUGCCUCCCUACACUCCCCUUAUCCCUCCACCAGCAUUCCUCAUUGCCUCAGGGCCACCACAGCUACCCCUACCACCCCACAUUGGGGGAAAUUAUGGACAUCCAUAGCUUCACCUACGCUGACCUGAAAGCCACGGCUGAUGUAUGUUGUUGCUACAGUAAACAUCAAUGUUCUGUCCUCUGGUUUACUCAUUAAAAAAUUAAGGUAAAAUGUAUUUAGUUUUAAGUUCUUCAGAUGAUUUUUGGAUCUGUUUUUGUUAGUGAAUAAAACACUUUUGUUUUGAAAGUUAUUCAUCUUUAUUAGUUUACAACAUAUGAUGUAUAGUGCCUGUUGGCAGUGAAAGUAGUGGUCUUGUACACUCACUACCCAUUGGAUCAGUGCCAAACGUAGUCAUCAUAAAUGUACAGCAACUCUCCAACAUUAACAGCUGCACUGUCAUUGAUAUAUGCACAGAUAUGCAUCAAGCACUACUCAAUUCCUAAUAGGCCCUCAAACUGCCACCCAGUGUUGAACACAGUACACCUCAGCAUAUUAUUGUGGCUUGCUGUUAAAGUGCUCUUUCAAAACCUCCCUAAGCUGUAUAACUCCUUGCUGAGUUCGUCUGAUAGCCCUUGUGUCUGGCUGUUCAAACUCAGCAGACAACCACUCACUUCCACUGCAACUUUCCCCCCUUUGUUUCACAAAUAUUAUGCAGGACACAACAGGAAGCUAUAACAACUGGGAUAUGUUUCACACUACUAUCCAAUCUGGUUAGUAAACAACGUCAGCACCCUUUCGAUCUACCAAAAGCACACGCAGCUGUCAUUCUGCACCUGUUGAGCCUGUAUUUGAAUCUUUCCUUGCUGUUGUCCAGGUGAAUGGUGUAUGGCUUCAUUAUGCAGGGGAGUAAAGGGUAGGCUGGGUCCCCCAUGAUCACUAUUGGCAUUUCAACAUUGCCAAUGGUAAUCUGCUGGUCAGAAAGAAGGUCCCUGCUUGUAGCUUUCUGAACAGUCCUGUGUUCUUAAAGAUAUGAGUGCCAUGCACCUUCCCUGACCUGCCAACGUUGAUGUCAAUGAAGCGUCCCUGGUGAUUCAUCAGCACUUGGAUAACCAUGGACAAGUAGCUUCUGUAAGAGAUGUCGGACAGCAACAAGUUCCAUGCAGGUUCGUGGGAAACUGAAAAUAGGUGUGAAUAUUAUGGGAUGGAGAACACUGCAUUAUGGGAAGUUGAUCCCUUGCUCCCAGUACCACUGCGUGAGUCGUUUCUGCCUCACCAUGCAUUGCCAAAACUACCCAAAACACAGUGUGCUGAACAGUGGUGGAUUGUACACUGGAUACCUAUCAAUGAUGCACUGCAUUGUCCAUCGA
This is a long non-coding RNA of Chelonia mydas (Green sea turtle), 4011 nucleotides long. RefSeq lists it as uncharacterized. Lineage: Eukaryota; Metazoa; Chordata; Testudines; Cheloniidae. The record is from RefSeq and is a predicted model, not a curated record. The transcript has 2 exons.